GGGCCUAUAGUUUAGUGGUAGAACAACGGUCUUCUAAGCCAUUGGUGAAAGUUCGAUUCUUUCUGGGUCCA
Molecule: transfer RNA, 71 nt
Filed under: Tetradesmus obliquus
Lineage: Eukaryota; Viridiplantae; Chlorophyta; Chlorophyceae; Sphaeropleales; Scenedesmaceae
Description: transfer RNA-Arg
Rfam family: tRNA
About the family: Transfer RNA (tRNA) molecules are approximately 80 nucleotides in length.
Source: RNAcentral